GCUCAGAUUGAACGCUGGCGGCAGGCCUAACACAUGCAAGUCGAGCGGCAGCGGGAAAGUAGCUUGCUACUUUUGCCGGCGAGCGGCGGACGGGUGAGUAAUGCCUGGGGAUCUGCCCAGUCGAGGGGGAUAACUACUGGAAACGGUAGCUAAUACCGCAUACGCCCUACGGGGGAAAGCAGGGGACCUUCGGGCCUUGCGCGAUUGGAUGAACCCAGGUGGGAUUAGCUAGUUGGUGAGGUAAUGGCUCACCAAGGCGACGAUCCCUAGCUGGUCUGAGAGGAUGAUCAGCCACACUGGAACUGAGACACGGUCCAGACUCCUACGGGAGGCAGCAGUGGGGAAUAUUGCACAAUGGGGGAAACCCUGAUGCAGCCAUGCCGCGUGUGUGAAGAAGGCCUUCGGGUUGUAAAGCACUUUCAGCGAGGAG
RNAcentral lists this ribosomal RNA (430 nucleotides) under Aeromonas veronii. Its description in RNAcentral is "bacterial SSU rRNA". It matches the Rfam family "Bacterial small subunit ribosomal RNA", at positions 22 to 446 of the family's 1533-position model. Lineage: Bacteria; Pseudomonadati; Pseudomonadota; Gammaproteobacteria; Aeromonadales; Aeromonadaceae. The record is from RNAcentral.